This 468-nucleotide ribosomal RNA is filed under the name uncultured bacterium. RNAcentral's name for it is "partial 16S ribosomal RNA". It matches the Rfam family "Bacterial small subunit ribosomal RNA", at positions 28 to 507 of the family's 1533-position model. The record is from RNAcentral.
GACGAACGCUGGCGGCGUGCUUAACACAUGCAAGUCGAACGGAAAGGCCCUGCUUUUGUGGGGUGCUCGAGUGGCGAACGGGUGAGUAACACGUGAGUAACCUGCCCUUGACUUUGGGAUAACUUCAGGAAACUGGGGCUAAUACCGGAUAGGAGCUCCUGCUGCAUGGUGGGGGUUGGAAAGUUUCGGCGGUUGGGGAUGGACUCGCGGCUUAUCAGCUUGUUGGUGGGGUAGUGGCUUACCAAGGCUUUGACGGGUAGCCGGCCUGAGAGGGUGACCGGCCACAUUGGGACUGAGAUACGGCCCAGUCUCCUACGGGCGGCAGCAGUGGGGAAUAUUGCACAAUGGGCGGAAGCCUGAUGCAGCAACGCCGCGUGCGGGAUGACGGCCUUCUGGUUGUAAACCGCUUUCGCCUGUGACGAAGCGUGAGUGACGGUAAUGGGUAAAGAAGCACCGGCUAACUACGUG